GUCCACCCGUAAACGUUGGGAACUAGUUGUGGGACCAUUCCACGGUUUCCGUGACGCAGCUAACGCAUUAAGUUCCCGCCUGGGAGUACGGCCGCAAGGCUAAACUCAAAGGAAUUGACGGGACCCGCACAAGCGGCGGAGCAUGCGGAUUAAUUCGAUGCAACGCGAAGAACCUUACCAAGGCUUGACAUAUACGAGAACGGGCCAGAAAUGGUCAACUCUUUGGACACUCGUAAACAGGUGGUGCAUGGUUGUCGU
Molecule: ribosomal RNA, 258 nt
Filed under: uncultured bacterium
Lineage: Bacteria
Description: partial 16S ribosomal RNA
Rfam family: Bacterial small subunit ribosomal RNA
Source: RNAcentral